Molecule: ribosomal RNA, 279 nt
Filed under: Triticum aestivum (bread wheat)
Lineage: Eukaryota; Viridiplantae; Streptophyta; Magnoliopsida; Poales; Poaceae
Description: partial small subunit ribosomal RNA
Source: RNAcentral
AUGCUGCGCCACGUCGACCCUGCGCGCCGUCCGCGCGAGAGCCGCUCGAUCACCGUCGCCUCCCCGGCGGUCGACCAAGCUAUCUUCUUCCUGCGCAACCACGCCGUCACCCUACGCGCCGCUGACGGGGUCAACGCCACGUCCCCCAUGGCGGUGGGUAGGGCAAUCGAGGCACAACUCACCGUCCCCGAACACAUGCUGCGAGUCACAGCCCACCACCCGGAGCACUACCUCAUCAUCUUCAGCCAGUCGCCGCACCAAGUCAACGCCGUCCGGAGG